RNAcentral lists this ribosomal RNA (435 nucleotides) under uncultured bacterium. RNAcentral describes it as "partial 16S ribosomal RNA". It matches the Rfam family "Bacterial small subunit ribosomal RNA", at positions 29 to 507 of the family's 1533-position model. The record is from RNAcentral.
AGCGAACGCUGGCGGCAGGCUUAACACAUGCAAGUCGAGCGGGCAUUUUCGGAUGUCAGCGGCAGACGGGUGAGUAACAUGUGGUAACGUACCCUUCGGUUCGGCACAACUCUGGGAAACUGGAGCUAAUACCGGAUACGCCCUUCUGGGGAAACGUUUACUGCCGAAGGAUCGGCCCGCGUCUGAUUAGCUAGUUGGUGGGGUAACGGCCUACCAAGGCGACGAUCAGUAGCUGGUCUGAUAGGAGGAUCAGCCACACUGGGACUGAGACACGGCCCAAGCUCCUAAGGGAAGCAGGAAGGGGGAAUAGUGGGCAAUGGACGCAAGCCUAGUCCAGCCAUGGCGCGUGAGUGAUGAAGGGAUUAGGGUUGUAAAGCUCUUUUGUCCGGGACGAUAAUAACGGUACCGGAAAAAUAAGCCCCGGCUAACUUCGUG